RNAcentral lists this ribosomal RNA (504 nucleotides) under uncultured Glomus. RNAcentral describes it as "SSU rRNA". It matches the Rfam family "Eukaryotic small subunit ribosomal RNA", at positions 569 to 1077 of the family's 1831-position model. The record is from RNAcentral. Lineage: Eukaryota; Fungi; Glomeromycota; Glomeromycetes; Glomerales; Glomeraceae.
AGCAGCCGCGGUAAUUCCAGCUCCAAUAGCGUAUAUUAAAGUUGUUGCAGUUAAAAAGCUCGUAGUUGAAUUUCGGGGUCAGUAGGUUGGUCGUGCCACUGGUAUGUACUGGCUUCACUGAUUCCUCCUUCCUGAUGAGCCGUAAUGCCAUUAAUUUGGUGUUGCGAGGAAUCUGGACUGUUACUUUGAAAAAAUUAGAGUGUUUAAAGCAAGCUAACGCUUGAAUACAUUAGCAUGGAAUAAUGAAAUAGGACGUUCGGUCUUAUUUUGUUGGUUUCUAAGAUUGACGUAAUGAUUAAUAGGGAUAGUUGGGGGCAUUAGUAUUCAAUUGUCAGAGGUGAAAUUCUUGGAUUUAUUGAAGACUAACUACUGCGAAAGCAUUUGCCAAGGAUGUUUUCAUUAAUCAAGAACGAAAGUUAGGGGAUCGAAGACGAUCAGAUACCGUCGUAGUCUUAACCAUAAACUAUGCCGACUAGGGAUCGGAUGAUGUUAAUUUUUUAAUGA